This 465-nucleotide ribosomal RNA is filed under the name Vreelandella stevensii. RNAcentral's name for it is "partial 16S ribosomal RNA". It matches the Rfam family "Bacterial small subunit ribosomal RNA", at positions 338 to 795 of the family's 1533-position model. The record is from RNAcentral. Lineage: Bacteria; Pseudomonadati; Pseudomonadota; Gammaproteobacteria; Oceanospirillales; Halomonadaceae.
CCUACGGGGGACUGCAGUGGGGAAUAUUGGACAAUGGGGGGAACCCUGAUCCAGCCAUGCCGCGUGUGUGAAGAAGGCCCUCGGGUUGUAAAGCACUUUCAGUGAGGAAGAACGCCUGGUGGUUAAUACCCAUCAGGAAAGACAUCACUCACAGAAGAAGCACCGGCUAACUCCGUGCCAGCAGCCGCGGUAAUACGGAGGGUGCGAGCGUUAAUCGGAAUUACUGGGCGUAAAGCGCGCGUAGGUGGCUUGAUAAGCCGGUUGUGAAAGCCCCGGGCUCAACCUGGGAACGGCAUCCGGAACUGUCAAGCUAGAGUGCAGGAGAGGAAGGUAGAAUUCCCGGUGUAGCGGUGAAAUGCGUAGAGAUCGGGAGGAAUACCAGUGGCGAAGGCGGCCUUCUGGACUGACACUGACACUGAGGUGCGAAAGCGUGGGUAGCAAACAGGAUUAGAUACCCGAGUAGUC